Molecule: long non-coding RNA, 942 nt
Organism: Diceros bicornis minor
Lineage: Eukaryota; Metazoa; Chordata; Mammalia; Perissodactyla; Rhinocerotidae
Exons: 3
Source: RefSeq, a predicted model, not a curated record
GAAUACUUUUAAAAUCCUUAAAGGAUUUUUGUCUUUGGCUUCAUCUUUGCUCCAUGUUUUUCUUGCAGGGCCCUGGAUUUGAACUUGGCUUGGAAGUCAUUGUUUUAUUCUGGUAUCAAAUACCAUCUGAAGGGGCUGGGGAUUUUCAAAACUAUUGAGUCUGACUACUUUUAUUUAAUAGUUCUUUCUUCAAUUUAUCUGUCUCCUCUGAACAUUUUACUAUAAGAAGCAAGAAAAAUUCAGGUGACGUCUUCAAGACUUUGGUUAAGAUAUUAGAUAGACACACCCAGUUCGUUUAGGUGCAUUUGCUGUACUCCAUUUGAAUGUUAUUCCCCUGCAUAACAAGAAUCCCCUUUCUUACCACUUCAGUAAAGUAUGUGUCACUGCCCUGUAAGCCCUCACCAGCAACUUCUUCAAGUCUCACAUUCCAUGGCAUGUUCUAGGCAUUUUGACUUUUUACAAACAUUUUCCUGAAAACUCAUUGCUCAGUCCCAAAGCCACUUCCAUAUUUUAGGUGGUGGUCACUGCUACUUAGUGAGACCAAAAUCUGUAUUGGUUGUUUGUAAUUACAUAACAAAUUACCAGAAAGCCUUUGAUAUCUUACAACAUCUACGAGAUACAGUCAAGAUUCCAGGUACAGCUUAGCUGGAUGCCUUUGCCAUAGUUCACUUAUGCAGUUACAGGCCUUGUUCCCUCACUACAUGGGCUUCUUGACUUGGAUGCCUCAUGACAUGGAAUCUGACUUCCCCUGGGGUAAGCAAGCUAAGAAAAAGCAAGAGACCAUUCAACGACACUAUUGUGCACCCAAGAUGGAAGCCACAGUCCAGUUUCAGAAGUGAUAUCCUGUCCUUUCUGCCAUAUUCUAGCUGUUAGAAGUCCUUCAUUUUCAGUGCUGCAUAAUAUUCCACUGUGUGAUCAUACCAUAAUUUAUCCAUUCUAUUG